UGUUGUAGGUGUGAUGACUGUAGC
RNAcentral lists this non-coding RNA (24 nucleotides) under Arabidopsis thaliana (thale cress). The record is from RNAcentral. Lineage: Eukaryota; Viridiplantae; Streptophyta; Magnoliopsida; Brassicales; Brassicaceae.